RNAcentral lists this ribosomal RNA (382 nucleotides) under uncultured eukaryote. Its description in RNAcentral is "partial 18S ribosomal RNA". It matches the Rfam family "Eukaryotic small subunit ribosomal RNA", at positions 592 to 976 of the family's 1831-position model. The record is from RNAcentral.
UGUAAGCGUAUACCAAAGUUGUUGCAGUUAAAACGCUCGUAGUCGGAAUUUGGCAGUUCCGGAAGUGUGCACGUCGUGUGCGCACUUUGCGGGGACUGCUUUUGUGGUCUUGCGUAGGAUGAGGCACUUUCAUUAGUGAACGUCCUCACGCAACCACUCUUUACUGUGAGAAAAUCAGAGUGCUCAAAGCAGGCAUUUGCCGUGAAUGUAUUAGCAUGGAAUAAUAGAAUAGGACUCGGUUCUAUUUUGUUGGUUUGUUGGGACUGAGUAAUGAUUAAGAGGGACAGUUGGGGGCAUUUGUAUUCCGGCGCUAGAGGUGAAAUUCAUAGAUUGCCGGAAGACAAACUGCUGCGAAAGCGUCUGCCAAGGAUGUUUUCAUUGA